This 254-nucleotide ribosomal RNA is filed under the name uncultured bacterium. RNAcentral's name for it is "partial 16S ribosomal RNA". It matches the Rfam family "Bacterial small subunit ribosomal RNA", at positions 524 to 776 of the family's 1533-position model. The record is from RNAcentral.
UACGGGGGGAGCAAGCGUUGUUCGGAUUUACUGGGCGUAAAGGGCGCGUAGGCGGUCAGCGCAAGUCAGUUGUGAAAUCUCUGGGCUUAACCCAGAACGGUCAACUGAUACUGCGCGACUAGAGUGCAGAAGGGGCAACUGGAAUUCUCGGUGUAGCGGUGAAAUGCGUAGAUAUCGAGAGGAACACCUGCGGCGAAGGCGGGUUGCUGGGCUGACACUGACGCUGAGGCGCGAAAGCCAGGGGAGCAAACGGG